GUGGGGAAUUUUGGACAAUGGGCGCAAGCCUGAUCCAGCAAUGCCGCGUGCAGGAAGAAGGCCUUCGGGUUGUAAACUGCUUUUGUACGGAACGAAACGGUCCUGGCUAAUAUCCGGGGCUAAUGACGGUACCGUAAGAAUAAGCACCGGCUAACUACGUGCCAGCAGCCGCGGUAAUACGUAGGGUGCGAGCGUUAAUCGGAAUUACUGGGCGUAAAGCGUGCGCAGGCGGUGCUGUAAGACAGGCGUGAAAUCCCCGGGCUCAACCUGGGAAUUGCGCUUGUGACUGCAGUGCUGGAGUGCGGCAGAGGGGGAUGGAAUUCCGCGUGUAGCAGUGAAAUGCGUAGAUAUGCGGAGGAACACCGAUGGCGAAGGCAAUCCCCUGGGCCUGCACUGACGCUCAUGCACGAAAGCGUGGGGAGCAAACAGGAUUAGAUACCCUGGUAGUCC
This 450-nucleotide ribosomal RNA is filed under the name uncultured bacterium. RNAcentral's name for it is "bacterial SSU rRNA". It matches the Rfam family "Bacterial small subunit ribosomal RNA", at positions 354 to 796 of the family's 1533-position model. The record is from RNAcentral.